RNAcentral lists this ribosomal RNA (405 nucleotides) under uncultured bacterium. RNAcentral's name for it is "bacterial SSU rRNA". It matches the Rfam family "Bacterial small subunit ribosomal RNA", at positions 29 to 480 of the family's 1533-position model. The record is from RNAcentral.
AACGAACGCUGGCGGCAUGCCUAACACAUGCAAGUCGAACGAGGCUUCGGCCUAGUGGCGGACGGGUGAGUAACGCGUAGGAACCUGCCGAGUAGUGGGGGAUAACAGCUGGAAACGGCUGCUAAUACCGCAUACGCCCUUUUGGGGGAAAGAUUUAUCGCUAUUUGAGGGUCCUGCGUUCGAUUAGCUAGUUGGCGGGGUAACGGCCCACCAAGGCGACGAUCGAUAGCUGGUCUGAGAGGAUGAUCAGCCACACUGGGACUGAGACACGGCCCAGACUCCUACGGGAGGCAGCAGUGGGGAAUAUUGGACAAUGGGGGAAACCCUGAUCCAGCAAUGCCGCGUGCGUGAAGAAGGCCUUAGGGUUGUAAAGCGCUUUCACCUGUGACGAUGAUGACGGUAGCA